UUCAAUUUGAUGUGCUGAAAACAGGAAAGUUCUAUAUCCGUUGCUCAUAAGGUUCAAUUAAAAAUAAAAUAAUUUUAAGUUCCAUCCUGUAUAUCCUCCUGCCACGGUAAUAUUUAAAAUUGGCUAUUUUAGUAAAAAGGAGUAAUUUUAGUGGUUUGAGAUUCGUUGUUCAUACAUGAAUUGCAUAAAGGCAUUUUGUUUAUUUGGUGUAAUGAAAAUUACUAAAAAUUUCCAGUCAUUGACUGUGCUUGAAUGAUUUUAUGUGUAAGAUACAUCUCCUAAAGUUUAGCAGAUUAUUUAUAUAAGAAGUGUAUCCGAAUUAUAGAAGAAGCUUACGUUUAAUUAACAAAUGAAGCUUUUUGUGUUCAACCAAGGGAUAGUUCGACAAGGUUGAUGACAUUCCAUGAAGGUGUCUAAUCAGAACACCACAGAAGAACACCUGAUAGCAGAUCGGCCAAUCACAGUCUCAGACGGUGGUCUAUGGAUCGUAAGAAUGGAUAAUGAGCGGCAGAGUUUAAAGAUAAUGAGCAGCAGACACAGGACUCUGUGAGAUUCGGAGACGAUAUAUGGGGAUGACGAUCGGAAGAUAGAGCAGUCUAAGCCAGCACAGCCGAUAGGGUUGUUCCAGUACUCAGGGGCCAGUAGGCCGGUUUCGACCAGCUACGCUAUGUUUCGAUAAGCUUGCUAGUCGUAGUAAUCCAGUUCAACCAGACACGAAUACAUGUUGCAGUUUUGUUGAUAAGAUUCCUCCUAAACUAGAUGACCAUUCCUUAAACCAUCAUGCGUGUUA
Long non-coding RNA from Bolinopsis microptera, 790 nucleotides. RefSeq lists it as uncharacterized. The transcript is spliced from 2 exons. Lineage: Eukaryota; Metazoa; Ctenophora; Tentaculata; Lobata; Bolinopsidae. The record is from RefSeq and is a predicted model, not a curated record.